Molecule: ribosomal RNA, 775 nt
Filed under: uncultured Neocallimastigales
Lineage: Eukaryota; Fungi; Neocallimastigomycota; Neocallimastigomycetes; Neocallimastigales
Description: partial large subunit ribosomal RNA
Rfam family: Eukaryotic large subunit ribosomal RNA
Source: RNAcentral
UAUGUGAUCGUCUCUCGCAUAUCAAUAAGCGGAGGAAAAGAAACUAACAAGGAUUCCCCUAGUAACGGCGAGUGAAGCGGGAAGAGCUCAAAUUUGAAAUCUUAAAGGGUUUCCCUUUACGAAUUGUAGUUUAAAGAAGUGUUUUCUGUUGAGGUUUUGGUAAAAGUUCUUUGGAAUAGGACAUCAUAGAGGGUGAGAAUCCCGUAUUUGACCUUUACUUUCAACUUUGUGAUACACUUUCAAAGAGUCGGAUUGUUUGGGAAUGCAGUCCAAAAUGGGUGGUAAAUUUCAUCUAAAGCUAAAUAUUGGCGAGAGACCGAUAGCGAACAAGUACCGUGAGGGAAAGAUGAAAAGAACUUUGAAAAGAGAGUUAAACAGUACGUGAAAUUGUCAAAAGGGAAGCGUUUGACACCAGUGUUGUUUUUCUGAAAAUCAAUUAAAGAACUGUUUAUGCUAAGUUGUUUAGACUUUAUCAGCUAUCUGUUUAGUUUUAGGCUUUUCUUUAAUGCACUUUUCAGUUAACAAGUCAACAUCAAUUUCUUUUGCUGUAAAAAAGCUUGAGGAAGGUGGCUUGAGAUUCGUCUUAAGUGUUUAUAGCCUCUUGCCUAUGCAGUCGGAGAGAUUGAGGUCUGCAGCGUAGAUCCUUCGGGGCUAAAUGCAUUUGUGCUAAGUUAUAGCAUUUUAUAGACAACUUGUCGACUAUGAUUUGUCUUGUAGCUUACUCGCUUAUGUUAUUUUACCUACGCUUAGGAUGUUGAUCUACAGAGCGAGAGUA